Molecule: ribosomal RNA, 253 nt
Filed under: uncultured bacterium
Lineage: Bacteria
Description: partial 16S ribosomal RNA
Rfam family: Bacterial small subunit ribosomal RNA
Source: RNAcentral
UACAGAGGGUGCGAGCGUUAAUCGGAAUUACUGGGCGUAAAGCGCACGUAGGUGGCUUGGCAAGUCGGGUGUGAAAUCCCCGGGCUCAACCUGGGAACUGCAUUCGAGACUGCCUUGCUAGAGUAUGGGAGAGGGAAGUGGAAUUUCCGGUGUAGCGGUGAAAUGCGUAGAUAUCGGAAGGAACAUCAGUGGCGAAGGCGACUUCCUGGACCAAUACUGACACUCAGGGACGAAAGCUAGGGGAGCGAAUGGG